This 253-nucleotide ribosomal RNA is filed under the name uncultured bacterium. RNAcentral describes it as "partial 16S ribosomal RNA". It matches the Rfam family "Bacterial small subunit ribosomal RNA", at positions 524 to 776 of the family's 1533-position model. The record is from RNAcentral.
UACGAAGGGGGCUAGCGUUGUUCGGAAUCACUGGGCGUAAAGCGCACGUAGGCGGGUCGUUAAGUCGGGGGUGAAAUGCCAAGGCUCAACCUUGGAACUGCCUUCGAUACUGGCGAUCUCGAGUCCGGGAGAGGUGAGUGGAACUCCGAGUGUAGAGGUGAAAUUCGUAGAUAUUAGCAGGAACACCGGUGGCGAAGGCGGCUAUCUGGCCAAUCACUGACGCUGAGGCGCGAAAGCACGGGGAUCAAACAGG